RNAcentral lists this long non-coding RNA (1368 nucleotides) under Equus caballus (horse). Its description in RNAcentral is "lncRNA (ENSECAG00000054282.1)". The record is from RNAcentral. Lineage: Eukaryota; Metazoa; Chordata; Mammalia; Perissodactyla; Equidae.
UUUUUCUAAAAGACAAACAGAUACAGAAUAAAUAAGGUCAUACUUCUAACCAAAGUCUAGGGUGAAAAUUUUUUGCUUAUUUACUCAUGAGCCAAAUCUAUAAACAGCAGGAUGGCUAGAGAGAAAACCUAAAGGGCAAAAGCAGAGGGAGAUACAGAAGGCAUGAAGGACUGCCAACCCACUGGGAGAGAGGAAGGGAGGAAGUUUGCUACAAAUGCUGAUAGUCUGUGUGAAGCCCUAGCCAGAAGAUCUCUCUAGGUUUCAAAAUUUGCCUCUUCGGCUCCACACUGUCCCUCAAGAUGGUGAGAAGGUCUUUGGGCUGGGCCCAAUAGUGAAGCAUACCUCCCAGUUCCCUAGGCUGUCUCUGGCCACUUUUUAGCCUCCUCAAAACAAUCACCAUCACUUGGAAUGGAUGUGAGAAACAAAUGCAUAUAUCCCACAUUAGGGGACUCUGUCCCUUCCCUCAGAUACUUGCUACCUUCUUUUUUUUUUGAGGCCAUUCUUUUUUUUUUCCUUCCUCAAAACCCCAGUACACGGUUGUAUAUCCUAGUUGUAAGUUGUUCUAGUUCUUCUAUGUGAGCCACCACCACAGCAUGACAACUGACAGACAGGUGGUUCCAUGACUGGGAAGUGAACCUGAGCCACUGAAGUGCUAAACUUUAACCACUAGGCCAUCAGGGCUAGCUCCUGAGCCCAUUCUUUUUUUUUUUUUUUUUACUUUUUAUUAAGAUUAUGAUAGUUCACUUAACAUAAUACCCUCAAGGUCCAUCCCUUUUGUCGUGAAUGGGACGAUUUUAUCCUUUUUUAUGGCUGAGUAGUAUUCCAUUGUAUACAUACCACAUCUUCUUUAUCCAAUCAUCAGUUGAUGGGCACUUAGGUUGCUUCCACAUCUUGGCUAUUGUAAAUAAUGCUGCAAUGAACAUAGGGGUGCAUGGGACUUUUGGAAUUGCUGAUUUCAAGUCCUUUGGGUAGAUACCCAGUAGUGGGAUGGCUGGGUCAUAAGGUAUUUCUAUUUUUAAUUUUUUGAGAAAUCUCCAUACUGUUUUCCAUAGUGGCUGCACCAGUUUGCAUUCCCACCAACAAUGUAUGAGAGUUCCUUUUUCUCCACAACCCCUCCAACAUUUGUCACUUUUUGUUUUGGUUAUUUUUGCCAUUCUAACAGGUGUAAGGUGAUAGUGUAGUUUGAUUUGCAUCUCCCUGAUGCACAGCGAUGAUGAGCAUCUUUUCAUGUGUCUAUUGGCCAUCCAUAUAUCUUCUUUGGAGAAAUGUCUGGUCAUGUCCCCUGCCCAAUUUUUGAUUGGGUUGUUUGAUUUUUUCUUGUUGAGCUGUGUGAGUUCUUUAUAUAUUAUGGAGAUUAACCCUUUGUCG